CGGCCGCGGUAUCCUGACCGUGCAAAGGUAGCAUAAUCAUUUGUUCCUUAAUUAGGGACUUGUAUGAACGGCCCCACGAGGGUUUAACUGUCUCUUACUUUUAAUCAGUGAAAUUGACCUUCCCGUGAAGAGGCGGGAAUAUAAAAAUAAGACGAGAAGACCCUAUGGAGCUUAAAUUAAUAUGCUCUGAGCAAUAAAUUUUGGUUGGGGUGACCUCGGAGUAUAACAAAACCUCCGAACCAAGACUUACCCGUCAAGGUCAAUCACAUUGAUCAACGAAACAAGUUACCCUAGGGAUAACAGCGCAAUCCUAUUUAAGAGUCCAUAUCGACAAUAGGGUUUACGACCUCGAUGUUGGAUCAGGACACCCAAAUGGUGCAGCAGCU
RNAcentral lists this ribosomal RNA (386 nucleotides) under Crocidura attila (Hun shrew). Its description in RNAcentral is "partial 16S ribosomal RNA". It matches the Rfam family "Bacterial large subunit ribosomal RNA", at positions 1928 to 2563 of the family's 2925-position model. The record is from RNAcentral. Lineage: Eukaryota; Metazoa; Chordata; Mammalia; Eulipotyphla; Soricidae.